GACGAACGCUGGCGGCGUGCCUAAUACAUGCAAGUAGAACGCUGAAGCGAGGAGCUUGCUCUUCUUGGAUGAGUUGCGAACGGGUGAGUAACGCGUAGGUAACCUGCCUUGUAGCGGGGGAUAACUAUUGGAAACGAUAGCUAAUACCGCAUAACAAUGGAUGACACAUGUCAUUUAUUUGAAAGGGGCAAUUGUUCCACUACAAGAUGGACCUGCGUUGUAUUAGCUAGUAGGUGAGGUAAUGGCUCACCUAGGCGACGAUACAUAGCCGACCUGAGAGGGUGAUCGGCCAAACUGGGACUGAGACACGGCCCAGACUCCUACGGGAGGCAGCAGUAGGGAAUCUUCGGCAAUGGGGGCAACCCUGACCGAGCAACGCCGCGUGAGUGAAGAAGGUUUUCGGAUCGUAAAGCUCUGUUGUAAGUCAAGAACGGGUGUGAGAGUGGAAAGUUCACACUGUGACGGUAGCUUACCAGAAAGAGACGGCUAACUACGUG
RNAcentral lists this ribosomal RNA (497 nucleotides) under uncultured bacterium. RNAcentral describes it as "partial 16S ribosomal RNA". It matches the Rfam family "Bacterial small subunit ribosomal RNA", at positions 28 to 507 of the family's 1533-position model. The record is from RNAcentral.